RNAcentral lists this ribosomal RNA (464 nucleotides) under Vreelandella stevensii. RNAcentral describes it as "partial 16S ribosomal RNA". It matches the Rfam family "Bacterial small subunit ribosomal RNA", at positions 338 to 795 of the family's 1533-position model. The record is from RNAcentral. Lineage: Bacteria; Pseudomonadati; Pseudomonadota; Gammaproteobacteria; Oceanospirillales; Halomonadaceae.
CCUACGGGGGCUGCAGUGGGGAAUAUUGGACAAUGGGCGAAAGCCUGAUCCAGCCAUGCCGCGUGUGUGAAGAAGGCCUUCGGGUUGUAAAGCACUUUCAGUGGGGAAGAAAGCCUUGGGGCUAAUACCCUCGAGGAAGGACAUCACCCACAGAAGAAGCACCGGCUAACUCCGUGCCAGCAGCCGCGGUAAUACGGAGGGUGCGAGCGUUAAUCGGAAUUACUGGGCGUAAAGCGCGCGUAGGCGGUCUGAUAAGCCGGUUGUGAAAGCCCCGGGCUCAACCUGGGAACGGCAUCCGGAACUGUCAGGCUAGAGUGCAGGAGAGGAAGGUAGAAUUCCCGGUGUAGCGGUGAAAGGCGUAGAGAUCGGGAGGAAUACCAGUGGCGAAGGCGGCCUUCUGGACUGACACUGACGCUGAGGUGCGAAAGCGUGGGUAGCAAACAGGAUUAGAUACCCUAGUAGUC